UCCUUUUGAAAUUCGUUGCAAACAACUUUUAAUGGUAUAUUUUAUGAUGUGCGUAGUUUUACAUAACACUAUUUUUAUCGCAUGGCAGGAUAUUUAAACCAUAGAUUUACACAGAUUUGGACAUCUACUUUUUAGCUCACCUGACCUGAAAGGUCAACAUGGUCAAGUGAGCUUUUCUCAUCACUUGGCGUCUGUCGUCCGUCUACUGGGCCAAAUUUAACAGAGCUUUGCCACAGUCAUCACUAUGGUCAUGAUGGUAUCUAGUUUUAAAAAUGUGUCUGAUGAUCCGG
RNAcentral lists this long non-coding RNA (290 nucleotides) under Mytilus galloprovincialis (Mediterranean mussel). The record is from RNAcentral. Lineage: Eukaryota; Metazoa; Mollusca; Bivalvia; Mytilida; Mytilidae.